Molecule: non-coding RNA, 10022 nt
Organism: Oryctolagus cuniculus (rabbit)
Lineage: Eukaryota; Metazoa; Chordata; Mammalia; Lagomorpha; Leporidae
Source: RefSeq, a predicted model, not a curated record
UGGCCCAACGACUUAUUCCAUUUCCCACGAUGUCGGCUCCAGUUUGAGUCCUGGCUGCUCUCUGUUAAUGUCCUUGAGAAAGCCAUAGGAGAUGGCUUAACGACCUGAGCUCCGGUACCCAUGUGGGAGACCUGGAUGAAAUUCCAGAGCCCUUCCUGGCUUUGAACUGCUCCAGCCCUGGCUGUUGUGGCCAUUUGGUAUAAUUCAGUUAAGGAACUCAAGAUGAAAUCAUCUUGGAUUUUGGAUGACCUUGAAAUCCAACUACUGGUGUUCUUAUGAGAGAAAGGAGAGGGAAAGGCACAAGGAAGAAGGUCGUAUGUAAAAUGAGAUGAAGACUCAAGUUCUGCUACCACAAGUCAAACAAUGCUGGGAGCCACCAAAUCUGGAACAAGAAUGGAAGGGUCUCCUCUAGAGCUGUGUGGCACACCUGCGAUUGUGAUGUCAUUCACUAUGAUGUCCUCACCAGAGCUGAGUUGAUGCUGGCACCAUGCUUUGAAUAUCCAGAAAAAAAAGAAUACAGAAACCUGAAAUGGAUGCAGUCAUGAUGGAAGAUUAAAGAAGUGUUCUGAAAAACUGGAGCUGGGAGGCAUCUGAUGAAUGCUUCUAAAUUUGUAUCAAGACAACAAAGAAUGAAUACAGAAGGAGGGACACCAAGGCAGAAAGACUUCCUUCAUUGCCUGAAAGCAGACUGAGGCAGUGAGAGCCAGUGAUGCGGAGAGAGACAGAUCUUCCAUCUGUUGGUUCGCUACCCAAAUGGCUGUUGGGGCUGUCCAGGCCUUCCCCAGCAACCUGGAACUGCAUCUAGGUAGGCCAUGUGGGUGGCAGGGUCUCAAGUACCUGAUCCAUCAUCUGCUGCCUUCCCAGGCUCAUUACUAGGGACUUGGAUGGGAGGUGGAACAGCCAUGACUAGAACCUGUGCUCAUCUGGGAUGCUGGCAUCGCAGGUGGUGGCUUAACCAGCUGGGCCAUAGUUGCAGCCCCCAAGAUGAGGUUGGAAAAACCUAAAGUUGUGUACAUAGAGGUAUGUAUUUGGUCUGGUGUCAGCCUGGCCAAGCAAUAGCAGUUUCAUCAUUUGGGACGGAAAAUAGCAAAGCAGACAUUAUGUCUGUUUGUGUCCACCUGUCUCCCUGCCUUAUCUUUCUUGCUUUCAAGAUUUGUUGUGUUUAGGUGAAAGAUGGAAUGACAAUGAGAGAGGCAGAUACAGAGACACAGAGAUCUUCCAUCCCCUGGAAUAACCCCAAAACUGCUGAGAUGACUGGGCUGCCAUCCCAGGUACAUUAGUAGGCAGCUGCAUGGAAAGCAGAACCUGGGAUCCUGUAUGCACCACAAAAGAGGCCUGCUGAGGCCCAACACCCCAUCCCACAAGGUUAGAAGAGCCAGCGAGCCAGAGAGAGACUACACUGUGGGAGGCAGCAGGUGAUGGUUCAAGUACCUGGGACCUUGCCACACACCUUGGAGACUGGGAUGUUCUUCGUUGCCUAACAGCUGACUGAGGCAGCGAGGGCCAGCAAAGUAGAGAGAGACACAUCUGCCUGUUGGUUCACUCCCUAAAUGACUGUUGGGGAAGGCCAGGCCUUCCUCAGGAACCUGGAACUUCAGCCAAGUCAGCCACGGCUUCCUUUAUUGCUUGAAAGUGGAAUCAGGCAGUGAGAGCCUUGGAGGCAGAAAGAGACAGAUCUUCCAUCUGUUGGUUCACUUCUCAAAUGACUCUGAUAGGUCAGGCCUUCCAUAGGAGCCUGAAACUGCAACCAGACAUCCUUCACUGCCUGAAAGUGGACAAAGAUAGAGAGCAAUCUUCUGUCUGCUGAUUCAUUCCCCAAAGAGAUGUCAUGACAUUUCAAGCCUUCCACAGAAACCUGGAACUGCAUCCAGGUAGGCCACGUGGGUGGCAGGGGCCCCAAUACCUGAUCCAUCACUGGCUGUUUUGUUUUCCCAGGUGCAUUAGUAGGGCCCUGGAUUGGAAGUGGAGCGUUCAGGACCGGAACCUGUUGCUCAUCUGGGAUUCUGGCAUUGCAGGCAGCAGCUUAACACAUUGGGAACAAUGCUGGCCCCCAAAGUGAGGUAUAAAAACCUCUGUAAUGUGUAGAAUGCACUUGGUCUUGCCAGUAGUUCAGGUGUGUCUUGUGAUGCCCACAUCCACAAUGUAGUGCCUGAGUUCCACUCCAGGCUCUGUUCCCAUCCAACUUUCUGCCUGUACAGAGAGGUUGACAACAGUCCAUGGCAAGGGCUUUGGUGUGACACCUGAAGUGAGCGCUUGGCAGCCAGCUUCAGCUUCAACCAGUGCUAGCUUAUUCAGAGAUUUAGGGAGGAAAUCAGCAGCACAUGGGAGAUUUCGUUCUUUCUGUUUGCUGUCCCCCUCCAUCUCUCUGCUUUCAUUAAUGGGUUCAAGAAGUGCUUUUAGUUAUGGGAAAAGCAGAGGAACACAGAAACAAGGACAGACAGAGAAGGAGAAAGAGAUCUUCCAUCUACUGGUUCACACCAAAAAUGGCUUCUUGACGAGGUCAGCAUAGCCUAAUGCCCAGGAUCUGGGAGCCCCAUCCCAGUCUCCUGUGUGGGUGGCAGAGCCCAAGAAAGUGGGCCAUCUUCUGCCUCCUUCCCUGGCACAUUAGCAAAGGAGCCACAUCACAUCCUGGAAAAGAGCAUUGCAAUGCUCUGCACUGCUGCAGUUGCCAGUCCAGGCUCUGUUCUCAAUCCUAGCUCUCUGCUCAUACAUACUGUGGGAGGCAGCAGGUGAUGGUUCAAGCAUGUGGGACUUGCCACACACCUAACAGACUCACGUUAAGCUCUGGGAGCCUGAUGUCAGCUUGGCCCAGCACUGGCAGUUUCAGAAUCAUGGAAGUAUACCGGAGACCAGACACUUAUUUCUGUCUCUUUGUCUCUGUCCUCCUGUCUCCCUGCCUUGCCUUUCUUACUUUCAAGAUUUGUUGUGUUUAGUUGAAAAGUGGAGUGACCUCAAGAGAGGGAGAGACAGAGAGACAGGGAGAUCUUCCAUCCCCUAGAAUACUGACCAAAUUGCCAAAAUGAUGGGGGGUUGACCUAGCUGAAGCUGAGAGCCCAGAAGUACAUGCUGGUCCCCACUGUGCUUGGCAGGGACCCAAGUGAUUAGGCCAUUUUGGGGCUGCCAUCCUGUUAGCAGGGAGCUUCAUAAGAAGUAGAACCCUGGCUCACGUUUACUGUGCCCAAGUGGGUAGCCGAGGCCCAGCACAAGGCUAGCCCCUCACUCAGCCUUUAAAAGUUGUGUAUUCAUUUGUCUUCAUCUGUUUUCUCAGUGAUGCUUUAACCUGAUUGGGACCCCAGUGCAUGUUGCUGGUUUGGAGCUGCUCCGUUUCUCUGGCUUCUGUCUGUCCGCAUCUCAAGUCAAAGAAGUUGUGGUUUUGCUAGAGAUUUUGGUUAUCAUGACAUUUGUUUGUUUUCUUUAUAAGAUGCCCUUCAUUUUUAAAAAAGAUUUAUUUAUUUAUAUGAAAGAGUUACAGAGAGAGAAGGAGAGGCAGAGAGAGAGAGAGAGAGAGAGAGAGAGAGAGAGAAAGGUCUUUCAUUUGCUGGUUCACGCCCAAGUUGACUGCAAUGGCUGGAACUGCGCUGAUCCAAAGCCAGGAGCCAGGAGCUUCUUCUGGGUCUCCCACGCAGGUGCAGGGGCUCAAGGACUUGGGCCAUCUUUUAUUGCUUUCCCAGGCCACAGCACAGAGCUGGAUUGGAAGUGGAGCAGCCGGGACUCAAACUGGUGCCCAUAUGGGGUGCCGGUACUGCAGGCAGUGGCCCUACUGGCCGAGACGCCGAGACGCCCUUCGUUGCCUGAAAGGGGAAUUAGGCAGAAAGAGACAGACCUUCUGUUUGUUGGUUCACUCUGCAAACGACUAUUGGGGCAGGCCAGGCCUUCCACAGCAAUCUGGAACUGCAUGCAGGUGGACCAAGUUGGUGGCAGGGCCCCCAGUACCUGAUCGAUCACCUGCUGCCUUCCCAGGUGCACUAGUAAGGACCUGGAUGGGAAGUGGAGUAGCCAGGAGUGAAACCUGUGCUCAUUUGGGAUUCCAGCAUGGCAGGAAGAGGCUUAACCCACUGGGGACAAUGCCAGCAGCCCCAAGGUGAGAUUUGAAACACCCUGCAGUAUAGGGUAUGCACUUGGUUCCACCAACAGUUCAGGUGUGUCUUGUGAUGCUCGCAUUGCAAAUGCCAGUGCAAUGGGUUCCACCACAGUCACGGUUCCCAUUCUAGUGUCCUGUUGUACACACUCUGGCAGUUCAUGGCCAGGGCUGUGGGGGCCUACCAUCCACAUGGGACACCUGGAGUAAGUGCCUGGCACCUGGCUUCAGCCUGGGCCAGCACUGGCUCUUUCAGGGUUUGGGUGGGAAAUCAGCACAUGGGAGAUUUCUGUCUUUUGUCUGUCUGUCUGCCAUGGGGUCUCUGCUUUUGCUAAUGGUUCAGAAAUUGUUUUAGUUACAGGAAAGGCAGAGGAACACAGAGGCAAAGAGAUUUCUAGAAAGAAGGAGGAAGAGAUUUUCAAUCUGGUGCUUCACAUACCACACGGCCUCCAUGGCUGUGUCAGGCCACUAUAAAGCCAGGAUCCGGGGACCCCAUCCUGGUCUCCUGUGUGCCUUCCCUGGCACAUUAGGAAGGAGCUGAAUCACAUCCCAGGCAGCCAGGAGUGCAACCCUCAGCAUUGCUACAGUUGGCAAGGCCAGGCUCUGGUCCCAAUCCUAUAUUCCUGGCCACACACCAUGUAGGAGGCAUCAGGUGGUGGUUCCAGCACUUGGGACUCUGCCACCCACCUGAAAGACUUGGCUUAACCAUCUGGGCAUGGUGUCACCCUGAAUCAGCACUACCAGUUUCAGAAAUUCAGGAGGGAAACAGCAAAUCAGACAUUUCUCUCUAUCUGUUUGUUUCCCCUGCCUCACUGUCUUGUCUUUGUUGAUUUCAAGAUUGAUUUUGUUUAAUUGAAGGUGGAGUGUCAGUGAGAGAUAGAGAGACAGAGCUGGAGGACUUCCAUUGCCUGGAUCACCACCCACAAAGGUUGCAAAGGCUUGGUCACUACCAGGGCUUCCUGCAUUGCCUGAAAGUGGACUUAAGCAGCAAGAACUGGUGUGGAAGAGACAGAUAUUUCAUCUGCUGGUUCACUCUUGACAUGGCUGUCUGUGCAGGCCAAGCCUUCCACAGCACCCUGGGGCUGUACGCAGAUCCGCCACGUGGGUGGCUGAUUAACCCACUGGGCUACAAUGUCAGCUACCAAGAUGAGGUUGGAAAAACCCUGCAGUGUGGGAUGUCCUUCAUUACUUGAAAGUGGACCUAGGCAACAAGAGCUGGUGAGGCAGAGAGACAGACCUAUCUGAUGGUUCUCCCGCCAAAUGGCUGAUGGGGCAAGUCAGGCCUUCCACAGCAACCUGGAACUGCAUCCAGGACUUCCUUCAUUGCCUCAAAGUGGACUUAGACAGCAUGGAAGAGAUAGCAGAUCUUCUGUCCACUGGUUCACUUCCCCAAAUGGCUGUCUGGGAGGGCCAGGCCUCCUACAGCAACCUGGAACUGUAUGCAGGUGGAGUGACAGCCAGAGAUGGAGAGACAGAGAGAGUUGGAGAACUUCCAUUUUCUGGAUCAUCCCCUAAAAUGGUGACAAAGACUUGGGCACAACCAGGUGGAAUCCAGGAGCCUAAAACUUCAUGCUCGUCUCCAUUGGGUGGUAGGAUCCCAAGUUAUUUGGCCAUCUUGAGCUGCCAUCCGAGGCGCAUUAGCAGAGUACUCAUGGAUAAGCACAAUCUGGUCUCCUGUAUGCCCCAAUGGGAGUGGCCACCUGAGGCCCAACACCCUGUGCCAUAGGGUAGCCGUAGGGUAGCCAUAGGCUCAGUCUUUGAAAGUUGUGCAUUCAUGACUUCAUCUGACCUCAUCUAGUUCUCACUGAUGCUUUAACCUCAUGGGGACUCCAGUGCAUACUGUUGGUCUGUGGGGCUGCUCUGUUUCUCUGGCUUCUAUCUGUCUUUUUGCCUUUCAUAUAUGCAAAGCUAUGAUUUUGGAAGAGAUUUUGGUUACCAUUACAUUUGUUUGCUUUCUUUGUAGGACAUCCUGCAUUGCCUGAAAGUGGACUUAGGCAGCGAGAACCAUCUUCUGGUUCACUCCCCAAAUGGCUGUUGAGCCAGGCCAAGCCUUACACAGCGACAUGGAACUGUACGCAGGUCAGACACAUGGGUAGGAGGGUCCCAAGAACCUGUUCCAUCACCUGACGCCUUGCUAGUGCAACAGCAGGGAGCUGGAUGGAAAGUGGACCAACUAGGACUAGAACCUUUGCUCAUGUGGGAAGCUGGCAUUGAAGGCAGUGGCUUACUAUCUGGGUCACAAAGCCAGCCUCCAGUAUGAGGUUGUGUGGGAAAUUCUGAAGUGUGGAAUACGCAUUUGGUCCAGCCAGCUCGGUUGUGUCUUGUGAUGCCCACAUCCCACAUGGCACUGCCUAGGUUAUACUCCACUCACUGUUCCAUUCCAGUGUCCUGCUCAUACAAACCAAGGUUGGCAACAGGUCACAGCAAGGACUGUUGGCCCUUACACCCACGUGGGGCACUUAAAGUAAGAGCCUGGUGCCCAGAGUCAGCCCAGACCAGUGAUAGCUCUUUCAGAGAUUUGGGGAGGAAAUCAGUAUGUGAGAGGUUUCUAUCUUUCCAUCUGUUGUUCUCCUCUGGCUCUCUGUUUUUCACUAAUGAGUUCAGAAGUACUUUAGUUAUGGGAAAGGAAGAGGAACACAGACACAAGGACAGAGAGAGAAAGAGAAAGAGAUCUUCUAUCUGCUGGUUCACACCCUAAACAGCCUCCAUGGCUGGGUCAGGCCCGUCUAAACCCAGGAUCUGGAAACCAUAUCCUAGUCUCCCGUGUGCUAUUGGCUUCCAUGGUAGGUUAGCAAGAAGCUGCGUCAGAGCCUAGGCGGCCAGCAAUGCAAUCCUAUGCAUUGCUGCAGUUGGCAAGUCCAGGCUUUCUGCCCAUACACGCUUGGAGGAAGCAGGUGAUGGUUCCCAAAUGUGGGGCCCUGCCACACAGCUGAGAGACCCAGGUAAGCUUCUGUGCCAGGGCUCAGCCUGGACCAACACCAGAAGUAUAAGAAAUUGGGAAGGGAAAAAGCAAACUAGACAUUUCUAUCUGCCUGUCUUCUCUGUUCACCUCUCUGCCUUGUCCUUUUGCUUCUAAGUUAUAUUUUGUUUAGUUGAAAGACAGAGUGUCAGUGACAGAUGGAGAGACAGACAGAGCUGGAAAUCUUCCAUUAUCUGGAUCACUCCUCCAAUGGCUGUAAAGGCCUGGGCAGCACCAGGUGGAGGCCAAGAGCCCAAACUUGCUUGCCUAUACCCGCUGUAGGUGAUGGGGACCCAAGCGAACAAGCCACCUUUGGCUGGAAUCCCAUUAGCCGGGAGCUGCAUGGGAAGCACAACCUGGGGUCUCAUUUGCCAUGCCUCAAUGGCCAGCUUAGGCCCAACCCCCUGUGCCACAAGGCUAGCCCCAUACUCAGCCUCAAAGUCAUGUAUUCAUGACUUUGUUUUUCUUCAUAAGUGUUCUCAGUGAUGCUUUAACCUGAUUAGAACCACAGUACAUAUUGCUGGUCUUUGGGGUUGCUCUGUUUUUCUGGUUUCUAUCUGUCUGUCUGCCUCUCAAGUCCACAAAACUAUGAUUUUUUGUUGAAAUUUUGGUUACCAUUACAUUUGUUUGUUUUUCUGUUUUCUUUGUAGGACUUCCUUCAUUGCCUUAAACUGGACUUAGGCUGCUAGAGCCAGCAUAGAAGAGAGAUAGAUCAUUCAUCUGCUGGUUCACUCCCCAAAUGGUUGUCAUGGCAGGCCAAGCCCUCCACAACAACCUAGCACUGCAUCCAGGUCUUCCACUUGGGUACAGGGGCCCGAGUACCUGAUCCAUCAUUGGAUGCCUUCCCAGUCCCAUUAGCAGGGAGCUGGAUGGGAAGUUGAGCAGCCAGGACUGGGACCUUUGCUCAUCUGGGAUGCCAGUAUUGCAGGUAGUGGCUCAACCUGCUAGACCACAAUGGCAGCCCCAAGAUGAGGUUGGAAAAACCUAAAGCAGUGGAGUACAUAUUUGGUCCAGUCAGCAGCUCAGUUGUGUCUUAUGAUGCCCAUAUCACACAAGGUAGCAGCUGGGUUCAACUCCAGGCUCUGUUCCCAAUCCAGCUUCCUGCUUGUACAUAACAAGGUUGACAACAGGUCAUGGGAAGGGCUAGGGUGGGAUACUUGGAGUAAGUGCCAUGCAGCUGGCUUCAGCCUGGUCCAGUGCUAACUCCUUCAGAAAUUUGGGAAGGAAAUCAACACAUGGCAGGUUUCUUUUUCAGUCUUUCUGCCCCCUGAAACUCUCUGUUUUUACCGAUGGGUUCUUGAAGUAUUUUAGUUAUAGGAAAGGCAGAGGAACACAGAGAUAAGAACACAAGAGAUAAGAAAGAGAAAGAGAGUUCUUCUAUAUACUUGUUCACACUCCACACGGGCCCCAUGGCUGGGUCAGGUCAGUCUAAAGUCAGGAUCUGGAAACCCCAUCCCAGUCUCUUGUGUGAUUGGGAGGGCCUUAGAAUGAGGGCCAUCUCUGCCUUCCCUGACACAUUAGCAAGGAGUUGCAUCGCAACCCUCUGCAUUGCUGCGGUUGCAAGCCCAGGCUCUGCUCCCAAUCCCAGCUUCCUGCCCACACACAUUGUAUGAAGCAGCAGAUGUAGAUUCCAGCUCAUGGGACCCUGCCACACAGUUGAGCCACCUGUGUUAAGCUCCUGGGGCCUGGCGUCAGCCUGACCCAGCACUAGCAGUUUCAGAAUUUGGGGAGCGAAACAGCAGAGCAGACAUUUAUGUCUAUCUGUCUCUGUCCACCUUUCUACCUGCCUUAUUUUUCUUGCUUUUAAGAUUUGUGUUUAGUUGAAAAGUGGAGUGAUAGCAAGAAAGGGAGAGCAGAGUGACAUGGAGGUUUUCCAUCCCCUGGAGUACCCCCAAAUGGCCAAAAUGGCUGUGGUGGGACCUGGCCAUACCUGGUAGGCCAGGACUACAUGCUAGUCCCUGCUGUGGGUUUCAGGGGGCUUAACUGAUAAGGGCUGUCUUGGAUUGCCAUGCCUGGCACAUUAGCAAGGAGUUGCAUAGGAAGCAGAACUUGAGCUCCAAUAAUUUACCCUUCAAAUGGCCAGCUGAGGCCCAACUCCUUGUGCCAUAAGACUAUCCCCACUCUCAGCCUUUGGAAGUCAUGUAUUGCUGACUUCAUUUGACUUCAUCUGUGCUCUCAGUGACAUUUUAACCUGAUCAGGACUCCAGUGCAUAUUGCUAGUCUUUAGGGCCACGGUGAUUCUCUGCCUUCUGUCUGUGUCUUCCUCUCAAAUCAAAAGCUGUGGUUUUGCUAGAGUUGGGUUUUAUUUUUUUUUAAACUUUUAUUUAAUGAAUAUAAAUUUCCAAAGUACAGCUUAUGGAUUACAAUGGCUUCCCCCCCCAUAACUUCCCCCCCACCGGCAACCCUCCCCUUUCCCUCUCCCUCCCCCUUCCAUUCGCAUGAAGAUUCAUUUUCAAUUCUCUUUAUAUACAGAAGAUCAGUUUAGCAUACAUUAAGUAAAGAUUUCAACAGUUUGCACCCACAUAGAAACACAAAGUGAAAAAUACUGUUUGAGUACUAGUUAUAGCAUUAAAUCACAAUGUACAGCACAUUAAGGACAGAGAUCCUACAUGAGGAGUAAGUGCACAGUGACUCCUGUUGUUGACUUAACAAAUUGACACUCUUUUUUAUGGCAUCAGUAAUCACCCUAGGCUCUUGUCAUGAGUUGCCAAGGCUAUGGAAGCCUUUUGAGUUCACCAACUCUGAUCAUAUUUACGUAGUCAGAGUGGAAGUUCUGUCCUCCCUUCAGAGAAAGGUACCUCCUUCUUUGAUGACCUGUUCUUUCCACUAGGCUCUCACUCGCGGAGAUCUUUCAUUUAGGUCAUUUUUUUUUUUUGCCAGAGUGUCUUGGCUUUCCAUGCCUGAAAUACUCUCAUGGGCUUUUCAGCCAGAUCCACAUGCCUUAAGGGCUGAUUCUGAGGCCAGAGUGCUGUUUAGGACAUCUGC